RNAcentral lists this ribosomal RNA (253 nucleotides) under uncultured bacterium. RNAcentral describes it as "partial 16S ribosomal RNA". It matches the Rfam family "Bacterial small subunit ribosomal RNA", at positions 524 to 776 of the family's 1533-position model. The record is from RNAcentral.
UACGUAGGGGGCAAGCGUUGUCCGGAAUCAUUGGGCGUAAAGAGCGUGUAGGCGGCCCGGUAAGUCCGCCGUGAAAGUCCAGGGCUCAACCCUGGAAGUGCUUUUGAUACUGCAGAGCUUGAAUGUGGGAGAGGGUAGUGGAAUUCCAGGUGUAGUGGUGAAAUACGUAGAUAUCUGGAGGAACACCGGUGGCGAAGGCGGCUACCUGGCCCAACAUUGACACUGAGACCCGAAAGCGUGGGGAUCAAACAGG